RNAcentral lists this long non-coding RNA (871 nucleotides) under Anas platyrhynchos platyrhynchos (common mallard). RNAcentral's name for it is "lncRNA (ENSAPLG00000019622.1)". Lineage: Eukaryota; Metazoa; Chordata; Aves; Anseriformes; Anatidae. The record is from RNAcentral.
CUUGUAGAGGUUUAUCUUACUUGCAGAUGCACACCUGAAUUUGAGGAAGACGUGAUAUUUCAGAUAGCACUUCCACAAAUUCUCUUGGUCAGGUGGGCAUCCAACAGGUGGAUGGGAUGUGAAGUGGCUGGGGCUGUCUGGGCACAAAAUACUAUGAGGUCUCUCCUGCCUGUGAGCUGGUGGGAUGAGAUAUAGCUCAGAGCAAUGAGCUGCUGGGUGGGAGGAGCUGGUGGAGCAGAGAGCCCUCAGAGCCACUCUGUAAGUGAAUGGUUGGGCUGCUGCUGAUGCUGCUGAUGAGUCACAUCCAUAAGAUACCAGUGGGGCUGGAGCUGGGCUAGAGUUUUGUGGAGAGUAAUGGGAAAAGCAGAGGGAGUGGCUGGGAGUUCUACUUCCAUGGGCUGUGUUCUGUAUGCAACACUCUGUGUUUUUUUUGCAGCAACAUGGAUACUGAGCUUAUUCAAAACCUGCAAACAAUCUGACCUCAGUCGCCUACUACAGAUAUGUCUAGACUAGAAUUUUUUCUCCUGUUGUAACUUGCAUUUAUUAGUUGUUUGCCAAUUAGUGGAGUUGGUGAAGACAUUUGCAAUUGUAAAAGCUAAUCUAAACAUUCCAAGAAGAUGUGUUGCAGCAGUCAGACAUUUGUGGUUUACCUUUAGUUGUGCACUGAGGUAACUCACAAGAGUUUGCCUCGUGGAACGAGCACUUAUGGAGUGUUUAGACUUUCAUUUAUAAGCAUGUUAACCAGCUCAAGGUAAUUGGCAAUCAAUUAAGUUGAGCCACACAUCAAACCCAGUGUAAUACCCGCCCAUUCUAAUUUCAAAUUAAAAAAGAAAAAAUAAUGGUUAGUAUAGGCUUAGCUAAGUGGUCACAG